This 252-nucleotide ribosomal RNA is filed under the name uncultured bacterium. Its description in RNAcentral is "partial 16S ribosomal RNA". It matches the Rfam family "Bacterial small subunit ribosomal RNA", at positions 524 to 776 of the family's 1533-position model. The record is from RNAcentral.
UACGUAGGUUCCGAGCGUUGUCCGGAUUUAUUGGGCGUAAAGCGAGCGCAGGUGGUUUAUUAAGUCUGGUGUAAAAGGCAGUGGCUCAACCAUUGUAUGCAUUGGAAACUGGUAGACUUGAGUGCAGGAGAGGAGAGUGGGAUUCCAUGUGUAGCGGUGAAAUGCGUAGAUAUAUGGAAGAACACCAGUGGCGAAAGCGGCUCUCUGGUCUGUAACUGACGCUGAGGUUCGAAAGCGUGGGUAGCAAACAGG